Oreochromis niloticus (Nile tilapia) is the source of this 5798-nucleotide RNA transcript. RefSeq lists it as uncharacterized. NCBI's taxonomy places the organism in Eukaryota, Metazoa, Chordata, Actinopteri, Cichliformes, Cichlidae. The transcript has 3 exons. The record is from RefSeq and is a predicted model, not a curated record.
AUGCCUUUUGGUCAAAAGUCAGUAGUUAGUGCAUAAUCUGAUUAAGUUACGUAACUAAGGUGAUAAAUAAGUUCAAAGUUAAGAAAUAUAAGUAAUUCAUGCUAAAAACAGUUAAGAUGUGUGUGUUUGAAAUUUGCUCAGAGUGAGACAUCGUUAUCACAAGCGAUCUUUGUAUUGUAUGUGCGGAAAUGGGAGCGAGGGAGCGCUCUGAUCAUUCACCUAUCUUUGACGUAUUUUCUCCGUUAAUGUUGUGAAAAGUGCUUCGGCAGUAUUAAAACUGUGAAUAAGCUCAUGUACACGCUAAAAGUGCUCUACACGCUUGUACCUUGGGAAACGUUCGUCUUUUUACAAAUAAGAAAUAGAAAGGAGAAGCCUUGAGAGAGGAUAAGGCUUUAAAGGAUCUUCAUUAAAAGCAAGAAAAGCAAGCCUUGUGUGGAAGAUCUCGUCUAUUUUGUUCGCUGGCUGUCUAGCUUCACAUGGUCACGUGUUGUGAGGGCAGCAUAGUAAAAAGACGCCUACUCAGCGGGUUCAAGCAUACGGAGCUACUUUAAGCAACAUGAGUCUACGCUCAGGAAGAAAUUAUCUAAAAGACUACGCUGCUGAAGAGCUAGACGAAGCAGCCGGUGGUGAACAGCAACCAGACAUCGCCACUCAACCAGCUACAAUGCAGCAACGGUUUCAGCCAUUCGACACCAAGUCGCAGCAAUCCAGAACAUCGACAAGGCGGUCUCAACGGACAUCCUCAUCAACAGCUUCUGCAGCUGCAAGGGCCUACGCCAAAGCUCAAGCAGCACGAGCUCAACUGGCCUUCGCUGAGAAGGAAGCCAAUGCAAUGAAACAGAGAGCUGAACUGGAUGCUCAUCUACAUGUCCUCCAGUGCCAAAAAGCAAUAGCCGCAGCUGAAGCAGAGGCUUCAGCCUAUGAAGAAGCAGAGAUUCAAAGCGGGGAGCUCUAUGGAGAACUUUGUGAGGAAGUUGAGCCCAUCAGUACAGUGCACCGCACUAACGAAUAUGUUCAACAACAACGUGAGUUACUCUACCCAGACACUCAGCACGACCCAGCACAGCUUCCUAAAGGGAAUGACAAUGAAGUAGAUGUACAAGACAGUGCACAAAUAACUAAUCCAUUUGUAACCAACACUCAAAUGAAACCACCACCUGUAAACAGAGAAAGGAAACAGGAGCAAACAGUGAACACAUGUGUAGUCGACACGUACUGGUCCAACUCCACAAAGCACACCCCCAACCUUAACAACUGCUUACCUGAAGCAAGUGAAACGCAACAGUUUGCAAAAUACCUAAUUCGCAAAGAACUAGUCAGCACAGGUCUUUUGCAAUUUGAUGACAAACCUGAAAACUAUUGGGCAUGGAAAACCUCAUUCAUCAGCGCAACCAAAGACUUAAAUUUGUCUCCAAGAGAGGAAUUAGACUUGCUAACAAAAUGGUUGGGUCCAACAUCAUCCGAACAGGCUAAGCGGAUUCGUGCUGUACACACCCUCAAUCCUGCUGCAGGUGCGAAGAUGGUCUGGCAACGCCUUGAAGAGUGCUACGGCUCACCUGAGGCUAUUGAGGACGCGCUCUUAAAAAAGGUAGAGGACUUUCCUAAACUCACAAAUAAAGACAAUGUUAAGCUGCAAGAACUUAGUGACAUCUUAUUGGAGCUACAGUGUGCUAAACAAGAUGGCGCGCUCCCAGGACUUGCUUACCUGGACACAGCUAGAGGAGUCAGGCAAAUAGUGGAUAAACUUCCCUUCAACCUACAGGAAAGGUGGACAACUGUAGGAACAGAGUACAAGGAGACUCAUAGUGUGUCAUUUCCUCCUUUCUCAGUUUUCACACAAUUUGUCCAACGGCAAGCGAAAAUGAGGAAUGACCCAAGCUUUGCUAUGUCCAAGGCCAACACCCAUGUCCCUUCUCCCACAGAAAAACUGGGGUCAUAUAGUCGCAAACCUACUGUGUCAACACACAAAAUGGACAUUAUGGCAGAGCCCGACCAGAAUAAUCUCAGUCCAAAGAACAUGGAGGAACCGGAUCGUCAGUGCCCAAUCCACAAAAAACCACAUCCACUCAAAAAGUGUAAAUUUUUUAGAGACAAACCCAUUGAAGAAAGACAAGCCUAUCUCAAAGAGCAUCACAUCUGCUACAGAUGCUGUGGGUCUGUCCAACACAUUGCAAAAAACUGUAAAGCAGUGGUUAAGUGUAUCGAGUGUGACAGCCUUAAACACUUAGCUGCAAUGCAUCGUGGUCCUACUCCUGCCUCUAAGAGUACUACACCAGGAAACAACGACAAUGAAGAGCAAACUGAGAGCUCACCUUCAGUCGAGUCGAAGUGCACAGAGGUAUGUGGCCAAAGUGAUAGCCCACGUUCAUGUUCUAAGAUCAGUUUAGUCAAAGUGUAUCCCGCAGGCCAAAAAGAGAGAGCUAUAAAAAUGUAUGCAGUAAUAGACGACCAGUCCAACAGGUCACUGGUUAAGUCAGAGUUUUUCAGCCUUUUCAAUAUCAAUGCAAGACCCACUCCAUACACCUUAAAGACUUGCUCUGGCAGAGAACAAACCUCAGGUAGGAGAGCUGUGAACUUCUUCCUCGAGUCCUUGGAUGGAGAAGUCAACAUCCAGCUACCCCCUUUAAUUGAAUGUGACUCUGUUCCAGACAAUAGAUCUGAAAUACCCUCUCCAGAGAUUGCCCAGCAUCACUCACAUCUUCUUCCAGUCGCAGAUAACAUCCCACCUGUCGACCACCACGCCCCAAUCCUUUUGCUCCUAGGAAGGGACGUCAUCAGGGUCCAUAAGGUACGUGAGCAAAUCAACGGACCCAACAAUGCACCGUACGCCCAAAGGCUAGACCUGGGUUGGGUUAUUGUGGGGGAGGUGUGUUUAGGAAAAGCGCACAGUCAGUCAGAGGUCAUUGUCUACAAAACACACACCUUAGAUAAUGGACGUGCAUCCUAUUUUGAGCCUUGCCCAAACACAAUUCACGUUAAAGAGAAUUACUGGGUCACUAUGAAUGCUGCCUGCGUCACAGACGAUUUGGGACACUCUGUGUUUGUUAGAUCUGAGGGUGAUAACAAACAAGCCAUGUCUAUCGACGACAAAGCAUUCCUGACAAUGAUGGACAAUGAAGUUUAUCAAAACCAAGAGAACAGCUGGGUUGCACCUUUACCCUUUCGCUCACCGAGAAGGAGGCUCCCUGACAACAGAAAACAAGCCCUAAAACGCCUCUGCUCUCUCCGAAAGACUUUGGAAAAGAAACCAGAAACGAAAGAUCACUACAUCCAAUUCAUGCAGAAAAUGUUGGAUAACAAUCAAGCUGACCAAGCCACUCGGUUCAUUCCAGCACCAGACCUGCAGAACAGUACCUGGUUCUCAGGUCCACCCUUUCUGUACUCUGACACACACACAGAACCACACACUGGUCCUUUCACGCUCAUCGAACCUGAAAAAGACAGAGAGAUACGUCCAGAAAUAAAAGUAAUGAAAACUACUGUAGCAGAGCCACAGUUAGGUUCAGAGCGUUUCAAAAAGUACUCAAACUGGACCACUCUUUGCAGAGUCAUAGCCAGACUCAUUCAUGUAGUUACAUCCUUUGCUCAAAAGACAAGCGGACAAAGGGGAUGGAAAAGUUUCAGUGAGACACCAAAUGUCCAAGAACUCACCCGAGCCAAAGUAGUCAUCAUUCGAGCUGUCCAACAAGAAGCUUACAAAGGGACGCUUGAAAACAUUAAAGAAGGAAAGAAGGACAGUGGCAUAUUUGACGCACUCAAAAAGCUCAAUCCUGUAGUGGACAAAGACAGUCUCUUACGAGUCGGUGGACGUCUUUCCGCUGCCGAUCUCACAGAAAAUGAAAAGCACCCUCUGAUUAUCCCAUCUACCAGCCACAUCGCCAUGCUACUUGUAACUCACUAUCAUGAACAAGUAGCUCAUCAAGGAAGACACAUAACUGAAGGAGCUAUCCGUGGUGCUGGGUACUGGAUAAUUGGAGGGAAGCGGCUCGUGUCAUCUGUCAUUCAUAGGUGUGUCACAUGUCGCAAGUUGCGAGGCAAAAUGCAGAUCCAGAAAAUGGUGGACUUGCCCGCAGACCGAGUCACCCCUGAACCACCCUUUACCACUGUAGGCCUAGAUGUGUUUGGGCCAUGGACAAUUGUGACACGUCGUACAAGAGGUGGUUGUUCCCAGAACAAACGUUGGGCUGUGUUAUUCACAUGCAUGUCAACUAGAGCUGUGCAUAUCGAACUGAUAGAGACUAUGUCUGCUGAUAGUUUUAUCAACGCAUUAAGAAGGCUCUUCUCUAUUCGGGGACCAGCCAAGUUUCUGCGCUCAGACAGAGGCACCAAUUUUGUGGGCGCUUGUAAGGAAUUAGGGCUAGACUCAGGAAACAAAGCAGUAGGGAAGUACCUGCAAGAGAGAGGGUGUGUUUGGACAUUCAACCCCCCUCAUGCGUCGCACAUGGGAGGCUCAUGGGAGCGCCUUAUAGGGGUCGCCAGGCGCAUUCUGGAUGCAAUGUUGUUACAAACUGAACAAACACGUCUUACUCAUGAAGUGUUGUGCACCUUCAUGGCUGAGGUGAUGGCAAUUAUUAAUGCAAGGCCUCUUGUCCCCAUAUCCACUGACCCUGACAGUCCUGCAGUACUCACUCCAGCAAUGCUACUAACGCAGAAGAUGAGUGCUGUGUCUGCUCCACUCGGGAACUUUUCAUCAGGGCAGUUGUUUGGGAAACAAUGGAAACACGUUCAACACCUUGCUGAUACCUUUUGGAAAAGGUGGAAAGGAGAAUAUUUGUCCACCUUACAAAGUCGUGCAAAAUGGACAGAGACUAGACCUAAUGUCAAAGAAGGAGAUGUGGUCCUGCUGAAGGUCUCCCAAGCCAGCAGGAAUGAAUGGCCCAUGGGACUAGUAGUAAAAACAUUCCCCAGCAGCGACAAGAAGGUCCGAAAAGUGGAAGUGCGGACUGUAAAAGAUGGGACUGUUAAAAUGUUUCUCAGACCAGUUUCAGAGAUUGUUGUUUUGCUUGCAGAGACUGAAUGAAUAUUCUUCGAUGUUAAAUAAUGUUUGAAUAUGUUGUAUUGAUGUUUAUAGUGAUAUAAUGUGUUAUAUCAAGCGGGGAGUGUUAUGCCUUUUGGUCAAAAGUCAGUAGUUAGUGCAUAAUCUGAUUAAGUUACGUAACUAAGGUGAUAAAUAAGUUCAAAGUUAAGAAAUAUAAGUAAUUCAUGCUAAAAACAGUUAAGAUGUGUGUGUUUGAAAUUUGCUCAGAGUGAGACAUCGUUAUCACAAGCGAUCUUUGUAUUGUAUGUGCGGAAAUGGGAGCGAGGGAGCGCUCUGAUCAUUCACCUAUCUUUGACGUAUUUUCUCCGUUAAUGUUGUGAAAAGUGCUUCGGCAGUAUUAAAACUGUGAAUAAGCUCAUGUACACGCUAAAAGUGCUCUACACGCUUGUACCUUGGGAAACGUUCGUCUUUUUACAAAUAAGAAAUAGAAAGGAGAAGCCUUGAGAGAGGAUAAGGCUUUAAAGGAUCUUCAUUAAAAGCAAGAAAAGCAAGCCUUGUGUGGAAGAUCUCGUCUAUUUUGUUCGCUGGCUGUCUAGCUUCACAUGGUCACGUGUUGUGAGGGCAGCAUAGAGAGAGAAUGUGAUUCUAAUCCUCCUUCCAGGCACUGUAGCGUCUUGAAUGCAUGGUUGUAAAAAUGUUUAAAAAAAAAGAAAAAAAGUACAAAACCAGAGUGCACAGGAUCUCUUUCAACCGUUGAUUUCCUGCUGUCCCAGUUCCCCAAAGCAACCCAACACAGGCUUUCAGUCUUAAUUCAAAGCAA